ACGUUAAUCGGGGCAGGGUGAGUCGACCCCUAAGGCGAGGCCGAAAGGCGUAGUCGAUGGGAAACGGGUUAAUAUUCCCGUACUUGGUGUUACUGCGAAGGGGGGACGGAGAAGGCUAUGUUGGCCGGGCGACGGUUGUCCCGGUUUAAGCGUGUAGGUGUGUGUUCCAGGUAAAUCCGGUUCACUUUAACACUGAGGCGUGACGACGAGGCACUACGGUGCUGAAGCAACAAAUGCCCUGCUUCCAGGAAAAGCCUCUAAGCAUCAGGUAACAUCAAAUCGUACCCCAAACCGACACAGGUGGUCAGGUAGAGAAUACCAAGGCGCUUGAGAGAACUCGGGUGAAGGAACUAGGCAAAAUGGUGCCGUAACUUCGGGAGAAGGCACGCUGACACGUAGGUGAAGUGAUUUACUCAUGGAGCUGAAGUCAGUCGAAGAUACCAGCUGGCUGCAACUGUUUAUUAAAAACACAGCACUGUGCAAACACGAAAGUGGACGUAUACGGUGUGACGCCUGCCCGGUGCCGGAAGGUUAAUUGAUGGGGUCAGCGCAAGCGAAGCUCCUGAUCGAAGCCCCGGUAAACGGCGGCCGUAACUAUAACGGUCCUAAGGUAGCGAAAUUCCUUGUCGGGUAAGUUCCGACCUGCACGAAUGGCGUAAUGAUGGCCAGGCUGUCUCCACCCGAGACUCAGUGAAAUUGAACUCGCUGUGAAGAUGCAGUGUACCCGCGGCAAGACGGAAAGACCCCGUGAACCUUUACUAUAGCUUGACACUGAACAUUGAGCCUUGAUGUGUAGGAUAGGUGGGAGGCUUUGAAGUGUGGACGCCAGUCUGCAUGGAGCCGACCUUGAAAUACCACCCUUUAAUGUUUGAUGUUCUAACGUGGACCCGUGAUCCGGGUUGCGGACAGUGUCUGGUGGGUAGUUUGACUGGGGCGGUCUCCUCCUAAAGAGUAACGGAGGAGCACGAAGGUUGGCUAAUCCUGGUCGGACAUCAGGAGGUUAGUGCAAUGGCAUAAGCCAGCUUGACUGCGAGCGUGACGGCGCGAGCAGGUGCGAAAGCAGGUCAUAGUGAUCCGGUGGUUCUGAAUGGAAGGGCCAUCGCUCAACGGAUAAAAGGUACUCCGGGGAUAACAGGCUGAUACCGCCCAAGAGUUCAUAUCGACGGCGGUGUUUGGCACCUCGAUGUCGGCUCAUCACAUCCUGGGGCUGAAGUAGGUCCCAAGGGUAUGGCUGUUCGCCAUUUAAAGUGGUACGCGAGCUGGGUUUAGAACGUCGUGAGACAGUUCGGUCCCUAUCUGCCGUGGGCGCUGGAGAACUGAGGGGGGCUGCUCCUAGUACGAGAGGACCGGAGUGGACGCAUCACUGGUGUUCGGGUUGUCAUGCCAAUGGCACUGCCCGGUAGCUAAAUGCGGAAGAGAUAAGUGCUGAAAGCAUCUAAGCACGAAACUUGCCCCGAG
Molecule: ribosomal RNA, 1458 nt
Filed under: Salmonella enterica
Lineage: Bacteria; Pseudomonadati; Pseudomonadota; Gammaproteobacteria; Enterobacterales; Enterobacteriaceae
Description: partial 23S ribosomal RNA
Rfam family: Bacterial large subunit ribosomal RNA
Source: RNAcentral